RNAcentral lists this long non-coding RNA (348 nucleotides) under Apteryx owenii (little spotted kiwi). RNAcentral describes it as "lncRNA (ENSAOWG00000017553.1)". Lineage: Eukaryota; Metazoa; Chordata; Aves; Apterygiformes; Apterygidae. The record is from RNAcentral.
CACAGGUUCAGGUCCAGAAGUGAAGAGGCUUGAUAUGACAGUUUGCAGAAGAUGGAGCUUUCUGCCAGUGGUGGAUAAUAAAACAUAGGCUUUUUGUCAUGUGUUGUAACCUGCUCAGAAAGUGUCUGCUGUUGGCUGAAGAUUGAGAAUGGCAGAUGUCAGAAAUCACCUGUGUGAUUUCAGAAAGCUGUGAGAUCAAGGGAUGGAAGAUGAUGGCUGCCUUCCUUGAUGCUGAGAAAAGCUUGCAACCCCUGAUAACCAAUCUUGCAGAACUCACUUCAGUGUCAGUGUCUUACUCAUGUGGCCUGUGUUGGCAGUCGCAGACAGUUACUUGAGGUGAAAAGCUAG